This is a small nuclear RNA of Callithrix jacchus (white-tufted-ear marmoset), 47 nucleotides long. Lineage: Eukaryota; Metazoa; Chordata; Mammalia; Primates; Cebidae. The record is from Ensembl.
GUGUUGUAUGAAAGGAGAGAAGGUUAGCACUCCCCUUGACAAGGAUA